Molecule: ribosomal RNA, 200 nt
Filed under: uncultured prokaryote
Description: partial 16S ribosomal RNA
Rfam family: Bacterial small subunit ribosomal RNA
Source: RNAcentral
GUCAAGUCAUCAUGGCCCUUAUGUCCAGGGCUACACACGUGCUACAAUGGGAGGUACAAAGUGACGCGAAGCCGCGAGGCAAGAGCGAAGCGCCAAAAGCCUUCCGUAGUUCGGAUUGAAGUCUGAAACCCGACUUCAUGAAGUUGGAAUCGCUAGUAAUCGCGCACCAGCAUGGCGCGGUGAAUACGUUCCCGGGCCUU